UCCUACGGGGGGCAGCAGUGGGGAAUAUUGCACAAUGGGGGAAACCCUGAUGCAGCGACGCCGCGUGAGUGAAGAAGUAUUUCGGUAUGUAAAGCUCUAUCAGCAGGGAAGAAGAAAGACGGUACCUGACUAAGAAGCCCCGGCUAACUACGUGCCAGCAGCCGCGGUAAUACGUAGGGGGCAAGCGUUAUCCGGAUUUACUGGGUGUAAAGGGAGCGUAGACGGCAUAGCAAGUCUGAUGUGAAAGAUCGGGGCUCAACCCCGGGCCUGCAUUGGAAACUGUCAAGCUGGAGUA
RNAcentral lists this ribosomal RNA (295 nucleotides) under uncultured bacterium. Its description in RNAcentral is "partial 16S ribosomal RNA". It matches the Rfam family "Bacterial small subunit ribosomal RNA", at positions 337 to 648 of the family's 1533-position model. The record is from RNAcentral.